CCCUCGGCCCGCUCCAGCCCGGCCGGGGCGCUAGGGAGGGGGGUGCUGGUCCGGGGACGCGGUGGCUUCGAGUGUGGCAAAGUCCUUGCACAGAGAGGCUACUCGUAGACUUCAGAAAGCUGCUGGCGGGGAAUAUCUUACGGGGUUGGCGGGGGAGACCGUCAGACCCCAAGGGUGCUGGCGGUCCUCGCUGGCGGGGCUCUGCCAUCCGAGGAGUAGCGGGUACUCGGGACAAGCCCCGCGGUCCCCACUCGCGACGGAGGCAGCGAGGACCGCCCUGCGGCGAGCGCAGCUCCUCGGCAGCCAUUCCCUCUUCCCCCACGCAACGAGUGGGAUGGGGUGCGGGCUACCGCGCCGCUGGGCUUGACCUCACGCCUCUCAGCCUCGGUCCCUUGGCUGUGCGAGCCGCAGCUCAAUGGCCGUGCUGAGGGAGGUCUCCCAGCAGACGGCAAAACCUACUGACGGCUACCGCGGCUCCCCGCCACCGUUUAAGGAGCCGGGCCGUGCCGCGGAGCCGGAAAAGCGGCAGCGGGGGUAGCGUGCGUGGGGCCGGGGACAGCCAGGGGAGCGCGGCGGCGACGACGACGACCACCACCACCACCUCCGCGCCUUGGAAAGAGUAGGGGCUACCUCAGGCGGGGGAGCGCCCUUCAGGAGUCGUGCCAGAGGGAUGUCUGUCAGCCAGUCCAACGGUAAAGAUUAAUACUCCCAAACAGUCAUCGGAGGUUUCCUCGCUCAUUAAUAAGUGAUCACACUUAAUAACGAUCAAACGUUUGCCUGGGGAAUCCCGACCCAGCGGGCCAACGGCGAAGCCGGGCUGCGGGCAGGAGAAGCCGGCGGGGGCGCAUUUACCGCGCAUUAGGCUCGCCACGUAUUUUAUUAGCCACAUAAAUAAAUAAAGCCAGCUGCGCAGGGGGCCCUUCUGCAACCAAAGCCCGGGGCUGCACAUCAGACGAAACCGACCCCUUCAGAAAGGGCUGGCUUCCAGGUUCACCAGCCCGCAGCCAGGAGGCUCCGCCGCGCAGCGCCCCCGCAGCGCCCGCGCCCUUUCCCGGGGCCGCAGUUCCGCGGUGGCCGGGCAGGGGGCGCCGCGCCACAGCGCACGGGCAGCCGUGGACGACGCCGGCAGCCAGCCCGGCCGGCUCGGCCAAGCAGAGCCGGUAUCCCGCCGCGCCAAGCCCGGCUCCGGCAGCAGGGAGUUGGGUCGGGAAAUCUGCGUGCCAUUCUUUCCGUGAAGGUGCCGGUGUAGGUGGAGUUGCCCUCGGCCCCAGGUACGCAUAGCUAUGGAUAAAGUCGGUGUGCAUAUAGAUAUUGAUAUAUAGAGAAGCAUACAUACAGUACACACUUAAAAACUACGGGUUGAAGGGAAAACCUGAAUAUUUUCAAUAACGCAGCAAACUAGAGCACCAAACUCUCAUGGGUAUCAUCUCUUUAAGCACCCUGCUGAUAAUAAACUUACUGAACAAAGAACUCACCAGGCCAGCUGGACUCGGCGCUUUUCUUUCAAAGUCCGCUCCAGCUCAGUUCAUCUCCGCACCCUUCCGCCACCCCUUCCUUUUUAGUCCUUUUGAGAAGAAGCGAGAAAUGACCCGGUGACCACGCAGCUCUAGAGCCUGAACUCUGCCGCGGCCCCGGAGCUCAACGCGGCCCCGGCGCGCAGCAAGCGCGGUGCCCGUCUCCAUCGCCACAGCGCGGCAUGUCGGCUUCGACCCAUCCGCUGUUUUAAACUUGAACGAGGGUGGGAAGGAAAAAUAGACGGGGAGAGGGGAGAUUAAAAAAAAAAAAAAACAAAAAAGAGAAAGAAAGAAAGAAAAAAUAAUAAAAAGCCGAAAAGAAAGGUGAGAUCCAACUUUCUUAAGACAUGUCCAGGCAAAGAACGGGGCAGACUUGAGGAGUUGCAGCAGCGGAGUGAGAGUGGGGAAGCUGCGCCGGAUCGCCGAUUCUUUCCCUCCCUCCUCCCUCCUUCCUUUCUUCCCCCGCCUCCCUCUUUCCCUCCCUUUCUCCCUCCCUCUCCCUCUGUCUUCUUUCGCACUCAGUCCGUCCUCCCCGGACCUGCUCCCGGCACCACCACUGCCUGCCUCUCCUCACCAGUGCAGAGGAACGCGGAGGCGGUGGCAGCAGCGCGCACUUCUCCGCGCCUGCACAGCUCCGCGCGGGGCCGCUGUCGCGCACCUGGACCGCGACCGUCCGCCAGCAGUUUUUCCCACAGAAGGGCGUAUUCAGAUUCCUAAAGAAAGCUUUGAAAGGGAUCCAAAGAGGCAAUCACAUGCAUGUGCAACUAUUUUUUCACCAGGCAAGAAUAUAUGGAAUGUGAAUGGAGUUUCAGCAGAGCUCUGCAAAUGGCUAUGUAUGUGCCACAUCACACCAAUGGAGCUACGCUACUUCUGGUUUAGAAGCUAAUGUAAUUGGAACUGACUAGAUAUCUCCAAGCAAUACAGUAUGGAGAACUGUAGACACCAUGUACAGUUGUAACCUUUCCCCAGUGGCUGAGUGUCAUUAAAACCUGGUUAAAAGCCAGCUGCAUGCUUUUUAACAAAGAUUCUUUGAUUUUCAGUCCAAAUUCAUUCUAGUCAUUGUGCCUAUCCACAAACUAUUACAUUAUCAUAGGUGAAGGAAGAGUGAUGGGUGAUGUAGGUUUGUGAUUGUCUAACUUCAUCACUGAAUAAAAAAAUGUACCCUCUACAGAACUCCUGAAUUCACUGUUUUCCUCAGUGUUCCAAAUAAUCCUAUCCAUUUUUACUAGAACAGUUGAACUUCUGUGUUGCCCAAUUUAAUAUUAACAAAGUGAAAUGGCAGCUGAAAUGAGUUCACUGCCCAAAGGACAAGGCAUAAACACAGACCUUCUGAGAAUCAAAUGCAAGACCAUUACCCGAAUUGAUUGAAGGGGAACAUUUGAAUCCCACAAAUGAUCAAUAUUAUAAUGUCAUAGUUGCAAUUCAUGUCUACUCCUCUGUCACAAUGGAGAAGAUGUUUUUCCCUAGUGAAACAGCUUAAAAAAAAAAUAAAAUUCUCCUCUUUUCCCUUAUAUAGCUUAGGGUUUGAGCACUUUUCCAGAACAGCGAGGGUUUACCCUUCAGUGAGAAAGGCCUUGAGUGAAGAACUCCAAGCUACUAUAUAAGCACUUUGGCUCAUGUGCUAGCAAAACCAGUGUUACUUGAGGGUUUCUAUGAAUCCUGAUUUUGUAUACCUGUGACAGGGUGUGUUGGAGCAAGCCAAUAGACUGAGCAUCUGAAGGUAGAAGGUGCCUAGAAAUGGAUCCAUGUUGGGUUUAAUGACUAUUAAGUGGGUAGCUAUGAAGCAUCGGGAACAGAGCUCUUCUGUGUACUGAGAAACAGAACUUCAGGUGUUUGGCAACUAUGAGCAUUCAAACUUCUGUGCCUGUGGAGCUUAAACACUUUUGGCCUAGGCAGACCUGAGCAGGAAUCACAGCUGUAUUUCUGGAGAUGCCUUGUCUUUCUUUUUUUGAGUGAGCUGCCAUGCAUUUAAUGAGCAACUUAUCCACCUGGCUCAAAGCUCUGGUUUCCAAUACACAAACAAGCACCUAAGAAUGAAAAAUUACCUAAAUAAGAUUGAGUUUCCUGUACAAAGCCAGCAUCGAUUGUAUUGAUUUCAAUGAGAAUGGGACAAUUAAUUUAGGAAUUUUUCAAAAUGUAACCUACUUAAUGAAAAUUGUAAAACUUUAGAUUAGUCUUUAGAGGUAUUCUAGUAAUUUUAAAGACCAGAAUCACAAUUUUGCCUUAGGAAUGUGCUCUUUAGAAAUACUGUUUAUGCUUGAUUUCUGCUUUUGUCCAAUAUCAAGUGCAAUUAAAACUGGAUGACUUCUUUGUUCCUGCACAAUAUUUGGAUUUGUGCACGCACUGUUUAUACAUAUGGCUAUUAGUCAUAAUCUGUAAAAUCACAUGUAUUUGUAUACUUGUUCAUUUUGUUUGCAAAAAUGACUGUUUCUACCACAUCACACUGUAUUACAUGGCUUUUAAAAAUGUCUCUUUGAAAUUUAGCCCUGAUUGUUCUUAAGACCUAAGAAGGGAUUAAACUUCAUAUAUCAGCUUCUUUAUCUUUAAAGCUUAUUAACAUCUAAUCAAGAUUAGAUAUGUGGUCAGACUUCUGAGGCAGGUGUGUCAGCAAACAACAACAUGUAGAAUACAGUGCAAAGUGUUCUAUAUUUGUUCAUCCUAAUGAAAGUGUCAGAAAGGCUAUGACUGCUGCAAAGUAAAAUCUUGAUGUAAACCCCAAAGGAGGUUCUUUCCAUGAUUCUGUCAUUGAUUCAGUGUUUCCAUUUUUUCUUUUUUUUCUUCAGGAGGUCGAUUUAUCAAAUAGAGGAGGAUAACAGUUUUGUUUGAAGUAUUAUGAUUUACUUGAAACAGGAGUGAUUAUUAUACAACAUUUGAAAAUAACUAUAUGUUUCUGAUUUGUCUUCAACCACAGAAUAAUUUAUUAACCUGUUGAUACAAAGUAAACCCCAGCAGAAUUGUAAUAGUCAAACAUCUAAUAUUUAUCAAAAUACCUCUCUGACCUAGAGAAGGGGCUGUAAAACGUUUAAAAUUAAUGGAAUUUAAUGUUUUAAAAAAAUGUCUUUAACUUCCUGCUAUAGAAACAUACUGUAAAUUGUAUAUACAAUUCAAAAAUUGUCUCUACCUUUGGUGUAAAAGUUCCCGAACUAGGUUUUCCUCCAUUAAAUCAGAGGGGUUUAUUUCAUGUACUGAUGUCAGGAGGUGCAAGAACAAAUUCUCACUUCACUACUACUCCACUCCUCAAACAUAUUUUUUCAUAACCAUGUAGUCUAAACUUUAAAAAUAAAACUUUCCUACAAAUUGUGGUAGUAUAUAAUUCUCUUUCCUACCAGAAUCCAUACAUUCCCAUUGACAAGGGUUUACCGCAAAGCCUCUCUUAAAUGACUGUCAUCUGGAAAGAAUGCAUGCAUAAACAUGGCAUUCUUCUCUGGGAGCUUUCUUUAUAGACUAUAAUGUCCUUAACCAAAAAUAACAUCUGUCUGGCCUUCCUUUCUCUCUCUCUCCAUUUUUUUUUUUUCUGUUUUGUUUUGUUUUUGUUUUUGUUUUUUUGUUUUUUAAUUCUUUAAUUUCUUUAAGAACUAUGUGUAUUGACAAUGUUGAAAUGCUGGCUUUAAAAGGAAAGGUCUUUAUCUCCUAAUCUGCUAGGCAGGCAUUAAAAUAAAGGAAAUGUUCAUUGGUGUUCCCAUUUUUCAAGACAACUACUUCUGUUAUCAGGAGAAAUCUGAAAUGUAAAAUUUUAUGUUAUUAUUGAUCCAAGACUUCUCUUAAAAUAAUUUUAAACAUACUGAAGAUAGCUAAAAUUGUUUCUUGAUUCCUCUUCUAUACACAUCAUAUUACCUACAUGUGUAAAAUAAUUGGAGAAAGGUCAAAAUCCAUCACAUUUACUUGCACUUUUUGUGCAAAACACAAGUGUGGUAGUUCUGCAGAGUGUUAGCAUUUUUAGCUACUAUUACACUGUUACCAAGGGUUAGUCACAUAAUAUAUAUGAAACAUAUUAUAUGGUUGUCUACUACCAAUCUAUAUUUUAUCAGAUACAAAUUUCUCCAAGACAGAUGAGUACGCUACAUAAAGAGUAACUAUAAAUGACUUGUUGAGUAAAACCUCAUCUUAAUGUAACAUCAAGAUGGCAUUUGACAGUAACUCAUUUAGAAUCAGCCUUACAGUUUCAUAAUUUAUCAUCAGCUCCUUUGAAAUUUUUCCAGAUUGUAGGAGGGAAGACAGCAAAACUCAGCUGGACUUUGGGUCAGCAAUUGUGGCAUACAAAUGUCUUAGUUUUAAAAAGAUGCUCUAUAAAAGAUUUCCCAUACACUUAUUUAUAACUCAAGACAUGGCAAUUUAGCUUCCACCAAGGAAGAAUGAAAGGCAAUUUUACCUGAAAUACCCAGAAUCUGAUAUAACAGGCACUAUUAUGUAGUGCCUGUUCCUCUGUCCUUCAGUAUAAUAUAGUGCCUCUCUAUCCUUCAACACUCAUCUCUAAGAAAUCUUAAGAGGGCUCUGAAAUGAAGCAAUGAUCAGAUAUUGAUUAAAGAAAUAGAGAUGCUAUUUUAAGAUACUAGCAGUGUUUCUGGUCUUUGUUAUUGCCAGUCUGCUGGAAAGCUGAAAGCCUCACAUAAUCAUCUUCCAUGCAAAGACAGCCAAGUUAGUUUAAAUACUGUUCUCCAUGUAGGAUUAACUGACUGGACUGACUUUGAAAAGAACUAGAAGAGCAACUGAAAUUGUUACAGAUUGAGAAUUUCUGAUGUCUUUUUCUUUUUUCUAUUCAAGUCGUUCUAUUAUUUAAGGGACUCCAGCCAUUUUUCAACCUGAAUAACAAGCACAUGGAUAUUUAAUGAAAUUAUAGAUAACGAUUUCUUUAAUUGAAAUAGCGUGAACAAUGAUUUACAAGACCAAAGUAGAGCAUAGAAGAGCUUAGAACAGUAAAUGUAAAGCAAUUUCUUUAAUAAUAUUUGCAUUUUAAUUGAUCUAAUUAAUACUCUGUUCUGUUUAAUUUCACUAUUGAGAUCCAGUGAGCAUCAAAGUAUUCUUUAAAUUAUCCAUAUUCAUACUUCAGGAACUGCAAUACAUUGAAUGACAUAGAUGAUAAUUCCCUUCUGAAAAUUGUGGAGAAGUGAAGCAAGAAAUAAUAGCAAGCACCUAGCAUAAUGUCAAAUCAAAUCAUUAAGAGAAAACAAUCCUCAAAGCAUAUAUCUCUUUUCACACACUUUUUGUCAACCAGAGAGACUAUUUUAGCCACUCUUUGAAGUUACCUGGAGUCCAUUUUGUAUGACACUUACAACUACAUGGUAGCUGAGUUAUUUGGAACAAGAGCAGUAAGCCUCAAAUCGAAGGAUUCCAAAUGCAAUAUAAAAAUCAUAUACUACAUCAUCCUGUUUUGUUUUGUUUAAAAACUAGAGUGUAAGCAUUUAGUGGGCUUUCUUUUUUUCUAAGAGGCAUUUAUGAUGGAGAAAUGUCUUAGCAUUGAUGGGCUGUAAUUUAUAAAACUGAGUGCCAAAAUAUAUCCUAAAAUAUCACAGUAUAGAAUGUUUCCUAUAUUGUCAUCAGCUUCUGAUUUAUCAUUAUUUGAAAUCUGUGCUUUCCCCAUAAUUUUCCCAAUGAACCAGAGAAAUACAAUAAUGAUCAGUAUUUAAAUUCAACUGCCCUGAUCAGCAACAUGUUGCAGAAUGGAGCAUUUAGUUUAACAAAGUUCUGGAAUAGAACUAGUUAGUGAUUAAUUUCACUUUCAGGAAUCUUGAUUAAAAUUUCUUAAGACAUAUACAUGGAAGCCAAACAGUUUCCACUGAACAAUUAUUUUGCUUUGGUUGUUGGUUUGUUGGACAGGGCUGAAGGGGGUUUAUAAAUGUAGAACCAGACUACUGUGUUUUUUCUACAGGUGCUGUUUAUUACAGAACCACAGAAAAUGUUCAUGAAUAUGAGGAACCCAGUAAAUAUGAUAUAUACACAGUAAGCAUGAUAUGCAAGCUUUCUUCAUGUGAACAAAUAAAACCCACAAGACUGCCCACACAUGCAAUCUGCAGCCUCAAAAGGGUGAAAAUGAAUUAACCACACACUUCCACCCAUUUGUUUAACUUACUGGACAUUUGUUCACUAAUUUUAGAAAGUAGAAUGAGAUGCCUCAUUAUUACUAGCUAGAAAAUUGAGAGAAUUUUUAGCUAUUAAAAUAGUCUCUAUCAUAACCUCUUUUACACAGUGAUAUUUAGCAGUGCAAAAUAUGAUUUCAUCCCUUUAUCACGGAUGUAUUUCUAACUUUUAGGUAUAUUGCAUUUGCAUUUUAUCUUCAAACUCUAUAAAAUGAAAAAUUGUUCAAGCAGAUUUUUUAAAUGUUUAUAGUUUUUAGCAGAUAAUAGUAGAUAAUAAGAGGACAUCCUUUGAAGAGGUUAACAGUAAAAAUGAAUAUAUUUUGCUGCUUUUUUUUUUUUUACAAGUAUGGAAAUAAUUCUGAAUGACCCUAUUGCAUACUCUCAUACUUUAUCAGAAUUAUACCCCAUGUAUCAAUAAGUAAUGUGACAAGGGAACUUCUUUAUGCUUGAUAUAAAUCAAUGAUUGCUGCCUUAGUUUAAAAGCUGAGUGAUGAUUAGAUGCUGUGACUCAAUAAAUUUGAGCUUCUAAUAUUAUGCAGAAGAACAUAAAAGCUGUUUGUGCAUUAUAAUGUAGUAAUAACGUAUCCCUUCCUAAUCACUGGCAUACCUAUCUUUUCUAGCUUGCCUGUAGCAUGCAUAAUAAAAACCUUGCACAAUGUGGAGAAAUUCUAAUUUUCAUAUACCUGCAUUAUGAACCCCUGCAGCUAUUACAAAAAAUACUAAAAUCCUUAAACUAUGAGGUUAAAAUACAAUUUAGAGAGUAUAUUUUCUUACUGCCUUUGAAGAUAGCAUCAGUUGUCUACACAGACCUAUAAAACGUUUCAAGGGUUGAAAGAUACAGCUUAUUGCACUUAUCUUUCUCUUCUUAAUAAAAGAUAAAACAACAACUCUGACUGAUAAACAAACAAACACAAACACUAACUGUUUGCCUAAGCUGACCUUGGGUUUAAGAAUCAUGGAUUGUUUUUUGUUGACUCUGGCAUUAGCUAAACUAAAUCCUAAAGUAUAUUCUUAGAUGGUGUGAAGUUGGUCUAAUUGUCUUCAAGCGAAGUGACACUGAUCUGCACCAGCUGUGGAUCAGAGCCCUUACAGGACUAACCACCUGCCUGUGUUUCAGAAUUAAGGGGAUAAGACUGAUUGUUUUGUAAAUGUUUAGUAGAGGAUUGGCUACUGAUUAGUUCUUUUUGGCCUUGUCUCUUUAACCUUGUACAGAUAUGUCAGUGGGAGAAGAAACAGGAAUGGAGAAGGUGGAACAGGAUGAUAAGGAAGCUGUGAUGAUUUCUAGUGCAAUAAAUUAAUAAUUUCAUAUAUAUUCAACAUGAAUUUUGUGAUCUAUAUAUGUUGUAUGGGUGUCUCUUUCAGCUUUUCCGAAAUACAGUCCCUCAAGCUUAUAGAUCAGCUGGAAAAAGAAGAGAAGGUACAAAUCGUUGUAAUGUAUCUAAGACAAGAGUGAGAGGGAGGGGGUAUUUUUUCCUAUAUUGGAAUCACUUCACAGAAUAUUUUUGAGAGGUUUCUUUAAUAUGAAUCACACCAUUCUAGUUCAAAGCAACAAAUUCAAACAAACUUGUAAAAUAUACAAACUAGUAAGUUCAGGAUACUAAUUUAGAUAUGGCUGUUUACAUUCUCACCCCAUUUUGCGAAGUGUGAAAUGUUAAAAGCAACUGUAGAGACCACAAUCAUUUUAAUCCUGGCUUUAAGUAAAAGAAAAGUGUAAAAAGGGAGUUAUUGCCUAACUUAAUGAAAGCUUUUGCAGUACUUGCAUUUUCUUUUGAACAGAAGUUUCAUACACUUAAAAAGAUUGUUCACUGGUGGAACACAUUAUUAUUAUUAUUAUUAUUUUUUUAAGUAAUAGAAGGGAACACAGAACCCCAGAAAUAUGCUUACAGUUAGUGUUUACAAAAUCUGCUAAUGAUCUCACUAAUGGAAGCUAGAUUAUGGAAUAUAUUUUGCAUCAGGUUUAUGCCCAGAGCAGCUGUUUUAGAAGGAGCUCCAGAUAGAUAUUAAUUUUUACUUUUGGAUCUGCAGUUCUUCAGUUAGAAGAACAUGUCUCAUGCUGGGGAACUAAACUUUCAGUGGGUGCAUUUACACAUACUGUGGUUUGUUUUCUUUUGCCUUUUUUUUUUUUUUCCUUCAUUCUGUGAACCCUCUUACACAUGCACAUUUCAAUUAUCAAAAAGUAAGUUCUGAUGAUUUCAAGUUUAAGUACAUUAAACAAAAGAAUCCAUGAUACCUAGUUUCCAUUGGUGUGUGAUCCUAAAAAAGUCAAGUGUAUUUGUAUGAUGAGGUACUCUUCCACCUUUAAACACUGUUUGUGACCAAGAACAAGUCAAGUUUUAUGUUGAUGGCAAAGAUAAAUAAACUCCCACUAAUGUGAAAGAGAUUGUAGAAAGUUUUUUACAGCAGGUUUGUUUAGAGACUGCAAAGCCUAGUGCUGGUGCUGUUCAUGACAAUGAAAAAUUCUCAAUUAAUUAUAGUUAAGAGAAGAUCAGGUACAGAACAGGUAACCUCUAUUAGAUUUUAUUGUUCACCUCUUGGACUGUUUAAGAUACACACUAACUUUCCAUUUUUCCCUGCCUUCAGUUUAAUGGGAACACGAAGAAAUCUUGAGGACCUUACUCUGGUACCAUAUAAUCGAAGACUAAACUUCAGAGCUGAAUUUAAGAAGAGAUUUCGACAUUUCAUAUUGCAGAGACUUAACUCAUUAGAAAGAUAUAUAUAUAUUUAUGACUAAUAUUAAUUGUAUUAGCUAAAAUAUUAAUUCAAAUUUAAAAACUUUAAUAUCGUACUGUUAGGUUGGAAGGGAAUCACAGUGUGAAACCUAAUGUAAAGAUAGGAACAACAGGUUUUCAAUCUUUCUGCCAUUCCAAGAGUCCUGAUCAUUUGAAUUUUGAAGUUGCUAUGUUACUGCCAAAAAAUGGCAUCUCUGAUACAGGUAAAUUAAUAAAAAAGCUAAUCUUAUUAAUUAAUUUUACACCAGUGACUAGCUAGCCAUCUCUUGGAAAAGUUCUAAGUUUUUGAAAAUUUAGACAAAAUUAAACAAGUAACCUCAAUAUUUAAAGUUUUUAAAUUCUGAAUCCCUUCCUUUGCCUAUCCGUUGAUUUUCGUCUAUUAAAUUAAAUAAAUGCUAGCCAUUAGAUUUUUUUUUUACAGUUACUCAUUAUACAUUCCUCAUAUACUUUUUACUAAUUUUAAAUUCACCAGGUUAUCAUCCUUCAGAUACUAGAACUUCAGAAUCAUACCAUAUUCAAAAGCAAGUAUUCGUUUUAGCCUUGUGUGUUUCUUUAUGUCUCAAAAUAUUGUGACAAGCCUUAGAGAAUAAAAUGGUUUUUGAAAAGGAAGUACAAAUGUGAAAACUAUGUAUACAGAAUGAGAUAAGUAUAAACCUACAGAAGACAAAGGGAAUGGAAUUAGAAGGAAUUCAGCUGGGAUGCAAAAACCUUUUACGUUGGUAAGUGGGAAGAAAAUAGCUUCUGGGUGGAUUUUUGAGGUACAUUUCCUGUGUUACUUUCUGAGAAUAUUUGGAGAUGGACUGUUGUAAGUAUGGCUAACAGAGUCCUAGGAAGGAAAUAUAUAUUGUAUUCAUCUUCACUUAUUUACUUUUGUUUUCUCUCUUCUUAUAUCAUGCUCACAUGGCAGUUGUCUUCCUAUAUUAAUUCAAAGUUUGAGGCAACCUUGGAGACAGUGUGCUUUGUCUCCCUCACUGUUCAGAGGCCACAGUCAGUUUGUGUGGAAAUCGAAGAAGGACCAAUAAAGAAACAGCUAAAAGAAGUGAUAUAAUAUUUAGUUUUUACCAGCUAUCUAGAGGAGAUAAUGGGAGGAUUCAUGUGAAGUUUUUUCUUAUUGAAGAAGAAUUGCAAAAUGCCACAAAACAUAAGUUUUUAAACUUUUGUUAACUCUGUACUUUCCUUGGACACUAGACCCAAACCAACUUGUUGGUACGGCCAAGUAUAUGUAUGUUCCUAACAAACAGCUUACACCAGAAAAUGAAAAGCUAGAUAACACACACUAAAAGGAUGAAGAAGCUUAAAGAAGAUUGGAAGUGAAAUGAAAAUCUGAAAAUUCCAACAGUAAAUAUGUACUGGGGAGUUAACACACUUUCAUAGUGUAUCUAUAUAAUCUUCAUCCCAACUUCAUUAGAUACCUACAGAUCUCCGUGUACAAUAAAGACUCAUAAACACAAACCUAUGUUUAUGCUUAGUGUUAAGCUUUGCUUUUUAAAAAUAAUCCCAGCCAUUCUCUGAGGGAUUCCUUUGCUACAGAAAAUCUACAAAUGCAUAUUUUUACAGGAUGACUCACUGAUUUGUCUUCCUAUAUUUAAUUUUAUUUCUCAUGUGGAAUCUGCAUAGCAAUUAGAUGCUGAGGUUUUUUGUCUGUUUUCUCUUUCAGGUUUUCCUUUUGAGGAUUCACUUCAGCCUUAGUUGGAUUGAAUGUAUUUCUUUGUGGAGCUCUUAAGCUGCAAAUAUCAAGGGAAGACUUAACACUAUCAUAGAGCAUCCUUUCUGCCUUAUUUCAAUAAGUCAAAUCCAAGCAUGUAUGGCAAAAUGAAUCUUGGCAUCAUCAGUGAUAUAACAGACUGGUUUAGACUUAUACAAAUUUUUAAAAACCCAAGACUUCAAAUAUUCAGAUAUACUCAUGCAUGUGCACAUGCACAUCCACAGUCAAAAAUCAGAGGUCAAAUCACUGAAAUCACUGCAUCUUGGUUUUAGUUAUUUCAGUGUGUAUUAAAAUGAAGAUGUGGUUAAAUGGUAACUCAUAUUAUUUCUAAAGGUAUUAACUUCAAAAACUUGUAAAGUUUUUCAAAUCUACCAAAUGUUUGCAGUUCUGAUUGAUUUCAGUCUGUAUACACCUUUAGAAAACCAUGCUAUGAGGUGUUGAUUCUUAGGCUUCUUUAAAAUAUUUAGUAGAAAAAAUUACAGUGGAAUCUUUUUACUCUUUAUGAGGUUGGGUUGACAAUGCAUUCCCUGAUGCUAGCAUGCCCUUUUUGGUGAAAAGAGGUGAUGCAGCAUGGGAAUUCGUAAUAAUAGUAUGUUAUAGCAAAUGGAAACAUGGCCUAAAGAAGAGAAUGACUAUCUGAGGCAACCAAACUGCUGUUCCCAGAUCUACUGCAACAGCACAUCCAAUUAAAUGUUUUGGAAGACUGCCAGUAUUUCAAGUUGCUGCAAUAUUUUUUUACUAGAAAUUGAAAUUUUUACAUCAAAUCUGAUUUUUAUAUGGAGGUAUAAAACAUAUCAAACUAUAUAUAAAUGACAAAAUCAAUCUCCAUUGCCUAUUUCUGAGGGAUUUUGGGGAUUAUGAGAGGUGUUUGUGGUUUUUUCUCACUGCAGUGCUGGAGUUUGAUGCAUAUAGGAAAAAGCAGAGUAAUAUACUCUUAAGGUAAGAAACAUGUAUGUUUGAAGUAAUCUUUUAUGUAAGAAAUUGUAUAGCAUAGGCAGAUAAAAUGAUAACUUCAUACACAAAGUCCUCAAGAAGAAACAGUCCUCAAGAAGAAAUCUCAGUAAAGUCAGCUCUCAGGUAAAUAUGUUUGGAGCUAUGAAGAAGUGAACAGAACGCACCAGAUGGAGAAGCAGCUGGUUUAUGUGUAAUAGGAGAAAGGUAUUUUGUUUUUCUCCUUGUUUUAAACUCUUUAUGUAUUUUUGUGUGUGUGUUUGUAACUAAAUAUUUAACAACAUGCGCUGAAUAAUAAAUGUUUCAGAAGACGCAUAUGUUAAUAAAAGACCCAUUGUUUUGUUGGUAGACAACAGGAAUCAGCUUCAAUUGUCUACACUACCCUGUGUGCUUCCUGUGGAUCUGUUCCUAACACAUACCUUUAUUAUUUCUGAUACUUCACAGAAUUGAAAGAGCACUAGAAGUAGAAAAUAUUUACAAAACCAGACGUAUAUGGCAAACAUUUUUGUGUCAGAGGAUAUAAUCAGAUGGAAAGAUACAUUUCAUCCCUGAUUAGGGACUCUAUUAUAUUCUAGACUCUGUCCCUUUAUCAUGUCUUUGAAAAAACAGAGAACAUCUUCAUUAUGAUAUACUAAGGGUCGCAACUCAUAUGGCUCACAGCAAUGUACAGAACCACACAAACCUCUAUAUAUGAAUAUACUAAAACAGAUAGAAUGUGCCUCAUAGCCAUUUUCCAGAAAUGUCAGGAAAAUGUGAAAACCUGUGCUGAGUCUAUGCAAUAUCUGCAGCAGAAAGAAAACAGAGGGAGAAUGGUUAAUAUUAAGGUGGUAAAGACUGAAGAUGUGCUUUAUUCUUUACAUAAAUGUAAUUGUCAAGAUCUAAUUCUACGAGGCUGGUGAGAAAAAAUAUUUCAGAAUUGCUGCAACAAAUGCCCUGAAGCUUGCAGCUUCAUGUGCCUGACAUACAUCAUUAGUGUGAGUGGGUAACACUAUGUAACAAUUAAGGAAAUGUGCCAGAGAAGUAGGCAUCUGGGUCUGAUAUUACCAGGGAAAGAAGACUGCCUGCUUAGCUGUAUUAUACUUAAUGUUGCAAGACAAAGUUUUUCAUGAUCUUGCAGAUUGAUGACCAUCUGGAAAAGGCCUGUCAAUGAAGAAGUAAUUAAUAAAGUUGAGAAAUAUUUCCACUUUAUGGAUGCCAUUGCCAUUUGCAAUGAAAUCUAGUUCCAUUACAGGUGGGAGCAAAUACAAAUGUACACUGUAAAGUGAAGUUGGAAAGGUGGAACCAAGCACAUUUGCUGGGGAAUGGAGAACUGAAACCCUGGCAACUAAGCUAUCAGCUUCAGCAGACAUGGGCUGAACAGGCAGGCAUCGUUUGUCAAGAAAUUAUAAACAGCAUUGAGUUUAUAAGGUGACUGAGCCCCAUGCUUGCAAGCAAACAGCUGCUUUAUUUUAGGAAAUUAAUGUUUUCUGUAUCUGCCUGCCCCUCAGUGACACAUUCCCACUUCCUAAGCAGAGGGAGCAGACAUGAACACUGAGCCAGCUCUAAAGACAGGGUAUGUGGUUUUCUGUGAAGAGAGAGGGCUGGCAGCAACAAAAUGCCUGUGGUCUGUCUACAGCAGCAUCCUGGAAAGCCUGUCUGGCUGCUGAUGUUGCGCCUGAGGCAGGAGAUGGUGUGGCAUGGUGCCCUGCUUUGGGCAGUUAGGAGACAAUGACAGAAACUAUUGCUUCUAGAAGGAAUCAUCAACAUCAGCUGCUGCAGUGAGUAGCUGGGCUCUCCCACUAUGUUUUACCAGUCUCUUUUCACCUGCUGCUUCUCCUUAUCUUCCAACACAGAAAUGACUCAAUGGUAGCCAAGCCCUUGUCACUAUGGCAAUACAAUUUAGCUUUGUCCCUCCUAUUCAGGUCCUAUUUUCACCAUUUCUGAGUUAAUAAGUGCCUUCCAGUGAUCAACGCUUAUGUGUUAUACUGCAAUACCUCCUUCAGUUACACUUCCAACCAAGAUUUGAGAUGGAAGAAAGGGCUGAGCUGUGAUGUUUUAACCCAUUUGAUUUUGCAGCCCAUAACAGGGGGCUAAUAACAACUAAAGGGGGUACAAGAAGACAGUUAGGGACCUGAAAUAUCUUUUAAACAAUGACUGAACAUAGACACAUGCUGUCAACACAGACGCUGUUACCUACUAAGAUAUUUCAGUCAUACAACACAAGCUGGACAAAAUAAAAUGCAAAUCAAUUACACAUUGGGCAACCCUAGUAUACCUGAUGUAAACAUUGCCUUUUUUAAUACACUAAAAUAUUUACUAACUAAGUUUUGCUAUUUUAAAGUUGAUAUAUUUUGAAUUUUCGUUUGAGUAGAUUUUAUGUUAAAUAAAGUAACCCUUUGCUUGUGCCAUAGAAAUUUCUGGAAUUUUCAAUUUAAAAUGUUGACAUUCCACAUUUGCUCUGGGCAAGUGUUAUUUUUUUUAAAAUUAGGAAUAGCUAAUAAACUAGAAAAUCAAUUUCCUCCCCUAACAGAGGACACUUUGAGGAACACUGAAAGAAUAAAGAGAAAGAGGGCAUCUGUUGGCUUUUUAAAACGUCUUCCUGCUUGAGUUAGAAUGCUCUCACAACUGGCACAGAAGUCAUGGAUACCAUUGAUUUUCAUGCUUCUUUCAGCUUUUAA
This is a long non-coding RNA of Columba livia (rock pigeon), 15630 nucleotides long. RefSeq lists it as uncharacterized. The record is from RefSeq and is a predicted model, not a curated record. Lineage: Eukaryota; Metazoa; Chordata; Aves; Columbiformes; Columbidae. The transcript is spliced from 3 exons.